GCCAGACUCCAGACACGUGUCAGGAGGGACUGCCCUUCUCUCUGAUGGAACCUCUAACAGAAGCUGGAACAUCAGGGGUGGAAACUGAUGCAACUGUCCCAGCAGCCUUGCAGGCAGGAAUUUGCCAGGCAGUUAUUAAAACAUCGUGCCUGCCAAGCGCAGGAGGAUUAUUUCGGCAUCAGCUCGCAUUAACUGCUCCACGCUCAGGUCGCCAUGUUUGAGCUGCGUCUGAAGCAGCUCGAGAACGGCCGCAGCCGAUCGUUCGGCUCUGGCUGCUCUGCUCCCUCGCUUUCCUUGCAGCCCAGCUCGCUGCUUUGCACUUCCGAUCACUG
RNAcentral lists this long non-coding RNA (332 nucleotides) under Lepidothrix coronata (blue-crowned manakin). RNAcentral's name for it is "lncRNA (ENSLCOG00000014823.1)". The record is from RNAcentral. Lineage: Eukaryota; Metazoa; Chordata; Aves; Passeriformes; Pipridae.